Molecule: ribosomal RNA, 215 nt
Filed under: uncultured bacterium
Lineage: Bacteria
Description: partial 16S ribosomal RNA
Rfam family: Bacterial small subunit ribosomal RNA
Source: RNAcentral
AGUGAACGCUGGCGGCAGGCCUAACACAUGCAAGUCGAACGGCAGCACAGCAGAGCUUGCUCUGUGGGUGGCGAGUGGCGGACGGGUGAGGAAUACGUCGGAAUCUGCCUAUUUGUGGGGGAUAACGUAGGGAAACUUACGCUAAUACCGCAUACGCCCUACGGGGAAAGCGGAGGACCUUCGGCGUUCGCGCAGAUAGAUGAGCCGACGUCGGA